RNAcentral lists this long non-coding RNA (16589 nucleotides) under Homo sapiens (human). RNAcentral's name for it is "HSALNT0317576". The record is from RNAcentral. Lineage: Eukaryota; Metazoa; Chordata; Mammalia; Primates; Hominidae.
GCGUCCGGACGCGCGACAGCUUCCACCCGCCUCAGGCAGUAUCAGCCGCGCCGCAGUCGGAGGAAAUAGACGCGGGGCCUGAGGCUCCUGGACUUGAGGUAUUAGGCUGGUGCAGAAGUAAUUGCGGCGGCCGGGUGCGGGGGCUCAGGCCUGCAAUCCCAGCACUUUGGGAGGCCGAGGCGGGCGGAUCACCUGAGUCAGGAAGAGUUCAAGACCAUCCUGGCCGACAUGGUGAAACCCCAUCUCUACUGAAAAUACAAAAAUUAGCCGGGCGUGGUGGCGCGUGCCUGUAACCCCAGCUGCUCUGGAGGCUGAGGCAGAAUAAUCUAUUGAACCCAGGAGGCCGAGGUUGCAGUGAGCCGAGAUCGCGCCACUGCACUCCAGCCUGGCGACAGAGCGAGACUGCGUCUCAAAAAAAGAAAAAAAAAAAAAAAGGAAGGAAGGAAAGAGACUUAGGCUGCAUUCCCCGCUUUUAAAAAUAUAUAUUUAUUUUUAUUUUUUUAAACGAAGUCUCGCUCUGUCACUCAGGCUGGAGUGCAGAGGCGCGAUCUCGGCUCACUGCAACCUCCACCUCCCAGGUUCAAGCAAUUCUGCCUCAGCCUCCCAAGCAGCAGGGAUUACAGGCGCGCCCCACCACGACCGGCUAAUUUUUUUUGUAUUUUUAUUAGAGACGGGGUUUCACCAUAUUGGCCAGGCUGGUCUCCAACUCCUGACCUCAGGUGAUCGCCCACCUCGGUCUCCCGAAGUGCUGGGAUGACAGGCGUGAGCCAUCGUACUCUGCCGCAUUCCCUGCUUAUAAGCACCAGUCCCUGGUCCUGUUUUAGAAGGCUGUUGUAUCUUGGCCUCUGCUAGCUUCAAAAACUAAGGCCCGAUGAGGUAGCUCGUGCCUGUAAUCCCUGUUUACAGGAGAGGCUGAAAGGGCAGGGAUUCCUUUUUUUUUUUUUCCCACUUGAGACAGGGUCUUGCUCUGUUUCUCAGGCUGGAGUGCAGUGGCACACUCACCGCUCACUUCAGCCUCGACCUCUUGGACUCAAGCAGUCCUCCCACCUCAGCCUCUGGAGUACCUGGAACUACAGGCGAAUGCCACCGCGCGUGGCUAAUCUUUUUAAUUUUUGUAGAGAUAGGAUCUGGCUAUGCUGCCCAGGCUACUAUUGAACUCUUGGGCUCAAGUGAUUAUCCCACCUCAGCCUUCCGAAGUGCUGGGACUACAGGCAUGAGCCAUCACAGCCAGCUGGGAUAUUGUUUUUCGAAUCGCUGUCAUGUUCUGUACUAUAUGCAGUUCCUGAAAGAAUGGAGGCAAGAAGGAGUCAGCUAACCACUGUGAACUGUCUUAGUGCCAAGGACCCACCCUUCUCUCCUUGGGGUCCUGCUGACCCAUCAGAAUAGGGCUGAGCCAGGAUGGGGCUUGUGGAGAUGAUGUGUAUGAGUGUGCAUGCACUUGUGUGUGCAUGCCUAACAUCCAAAACUAGAUAUAAAUUCUUUAAACUUUUCAUUAGUUGGCCAGGCACGGUGACUCGCACCUGUGAUCCCAGCACUUUGGGAGGCCGAGGCGGGCGGAUCAUGAGGUUAGGAGAUCAAGACCAUCCUGGCUAACAUUGUGAAACCCGGUCUCUACUAAAAAUACAAAAAUUAGCUGGGUGUGGUGGCAUGUGCCUGUAAUCCCAGCUACUUGGGAGGCUGAGGCAGGAGAAUUGCUUGAACCAGGGAGUCGGAGCUUGCAGUGAGCCGAGAUCACACCACUGCACUCCAGCAUGAGACUCUGUAUCAAAAAAAAAAAAAAAAAAAAAAAUUCUGCGUGAGUUGUGUGGAGGUGUCAGUACCUUUCCCCAGCAAGAGAAGCUUCUCCAUAUCAGGCAUAUCCUAGCCAUGACCCUGAAACUAACCAGCCAAGAGGGAAAUGUGAGACAAGCCCAGGCAAGCUUCCUGGAUGUUGUAUGCAGGAAUAGGAUGUGCUCUCUGGACUUGGAGACUUCCUGCCUGCUCAAGAGGCUGUGCCUCCUUGUGUCUCCCACAGGCCUCUGUGUCCACCUUCCCCACCCUGGCAGGCCUGCUAGGCCAGCAGCCCUGGAGAGGAAAGGGUGAGGUGGUGUUUGAAGGGACCUGCCUCCUACGAGCUCUGCUGGUUGGACUGUCGGAUGACAGAACCGUGCCUCUGAGCCUGGGAGAGGGAGGCACCCCUGUGUUCUGGAAGCCCCCAGUGCUUCAGCAACUCCUCACUGAGGCAGAAUAGUGGAGGAAUCAAGCUGGGAUCCAGGGGACUGAGGAGGGGAUAGAGCAGCACCUGGGCCCCACAUUCCCUUCCAACAGAGCCUGGGGUGCUGUGUUUCCGGGAGGGUUUUUUUUGUUUUUUGUUUUCCCGAGACAGAAUCUCGCUCUGACCCCCAGCCUGGAGUGCAGUGGCAUGAUCUCGGCUCACUGCAACCUCCGCCUCUCGGGUUCAAGCAAUUCUCCUGCCUCAGCCUCCCGAGUAGCUGGGAUUACAGGUGCACACCACCACACCUGGCUAAUUUUUGUAUUUUUUAUAGAGACGGGGUUUCACCAUGUUGGCUAGGCUGGUCGUGAACUUCUGACCUCAUGAUCUGCCUGCCUCAGACUCCUAAAGUGCUGGGAUUACAGGUGUGAGCCACUGCACCCGGCCUCUUUUUUUUUUUUUUUUUUUUUUUUUGUGAGACAGAGUCUCUGUCCCCCAGGCUGGAGUUCAGUGGUGCAAUCUCGGCUCACUGCAACCUCUGUCUCCUGGUUUCAAGCAAUUCUCCUGCUUCAGCCUCUGAAUAGCUGGGAUUACCGACAUGCACCACCACGCCCAUAUAAUUUUUGUAUUUUUUGUAGAGCUGAAGUUUCACUAUGUUGGCCAGGCUGGUCUCAAACUCCUGACUUCUGGUGAUCCACCCACCGUGGCCUCCCAAAGUGCUGGGAUUGCAGGUGUGAGCCACCGUGCCCGGCCAGAGCCUGGGGUUCUCAAACUCGUUUCUGGGGACCGCCCACCACUUUUCUUGCCAGUGCCCAUCUUCCAGGUUCCUCCCAGGCUGCUUCUGCCUGCCUUGUCCUCUUCCUGCCUGUCACACCACACUCUCCCACCAGCAUCUUCCUCAUUCCGCUCUGACUCUCCUCACCACCCAGCCCGACCUGACUGAAAACCCCGCAGUGGGAGAGCAGGAGGCCCCUGCUUCUAGGUGCCGUGUGAGAAGCAGCUGUGAGGUCGGGUUGGGUGGCUCACGCCUGUAAUCCCAGCACUUUGGGAGGCCGAGGUGGGCGGGUCACAAGGUCAGGAGUUCAAGACCAGCCUGGCCAAUAUGGUGAAAACCCAUCUCUACUAAAAGUACAAAAAAAAUAGCCAGGUGUGGUGGCGGGUGCCUGUAAUCCCAGCCACUCAGGAGGCUGAAGCAGGAGAAUCGCUUGAACUUGGGAGGCAGAGGGUGCAGUGAGCCGAGAUCAUGCCACUGCACUCCAGCCUGGGCAACAGAGCGAGACUCCAUAAAAAAGAAAAAGAGAUUUAAUUGGCUCACAGUUCUGCAGGGGUUACAGGAAGCAUAGCACCCACAUCACUCAGCUUCUGGGGAGGCCUCAGAGAGCUUUUACUCAUGGCAGCAGGUGAAGAGGGAGCAGGCGAGUCACAUAGUGAGAGCAGGAGCAGGCGAGAGAGAGGCCAGAGGUGCCACACGCUUCUAAAUGACCAGAUCUCGCGGGAACCCACUAUCACAAAGACAGCUCUGAGCCGUGAGGGAUCCGCCUCAUGAUCCACACACCUUCUGCCAGGCCCCACCUCUAGCACUGGGGAUCACAAUUCAACAUGAGAUUUGGGUGAGGACAGAUAUCCAAACUGUGUGGACAGAGGUGAUGCUCCUCUACUUGUUGAACUCUUGAACACUAGUGAAGAGAAUGCUGGUGUAUUAGUCUGCCAGGCUGCUGUUGCAGAAUACCAUGAACUGGGCACUUAAGCAACUGAAAUAGAUUUUCUCACAGUGCUGGAGGCUAGAAGUCCAAGAUCCAGGUGCCAGCAGGUUUGGUAUCUCCUGAGGCCUCGCCCCUGCGCUUGCAGACAGCCGCCUUCUCACUGGGUCCUUACAGGGCCUUUUUCUUUGAGCCAGUGUAGAGAGCUCUGUUCUUUCUUCCUCUUUUUAUAAGCACACCAGUCCUAUUUAAUUAGGGUCCCACCCUAUGGCCUCAUUUAAUCAUUUGUUGUUGUGUUUUUUUUUUUUGAGACGAGGUCUCACUGUGUUGCCCAGGUUAGUCUCAAACCCCUGGUCACAAGUGAUCUUCCCACAUUGGCCUCCCAAAGUGCUCAGAUUACAGGUGUGAGCCAUUGCGCCCAGUCUCAUUUAACCUUAAUUACUAAUUUAAAGGUGCCAUCAUGGCCAGGCGCGGUGGCUCACACCUGUAAUCCCAGCACUUUUGGAGGCCAAGGUGGGCGGAUCACUUGCAGCCAGGAGUUCGAGACCAGCCUGGCCAACAUGGUGAAACCCCCGUCUCUACUAAAAAUACAAAAAUUAGCUGGGUGUGGUGGCACAUGCCUGUAAUCCCAGCUACUCAGGAGGCUGAGGCAGGAGAAUCACUUGAACCUGGGAGGUGGAGGUUGCAGUGAGCCGAGAUCACGCCACUGCACUCCAGCCUGGGUGACAGAGCGAGACUGUCUCAAAAAAAAAAAAAAAAAGUGCCACCACCAAAGACUGUCAUAUUGGGGGUUAGGGCUUCAACCUACAGAUUUGGAGGAAACACUAUUUAGUCCACAAUAACUGGAGAAGUUGAAUUUAGAAGAUGGGGGUUGGGGCCAGGCACAGUGACUCAUGCCUGUAAUCCAGCGCUUUGGGAGACCAAGGUGGGAGGAUCACUUGAGGUCAGGAGUUCAAGACCAGACUGGGCAAUAUAGCGAGACUCCCUCUCUACAGAAAAUUUAAAAAUUAGCCAGGUGUAGUGGUGUGUGCCUGUAGUCCCAGCUACUCGGAGGCUAAGGCAGGAGGAUCGCUUGAGUGCAUGGGUUGUAGGUUACAGUAAGCUAUGAUUGUGCCACUGUACUCCAGACAGGGGAACAGAGCAAGACCCUGUCUCAGCAACAACAAAACAACAGGGAGAUAGGGGGUCAGGUGCUGACUUCACCUUAACUUCACUGUGUGCUUUUACAGCAAGCCUGUUACCCUCUGUGAGCCUCAACUUCUCUAUGUGUAACAAAUGGCCAACUUUAUGGGAUUGUCAAGAAGCUGAAAUGAGACCCUGGCUGGAGGAUAUUUUAUGGACUAUAAAUUCCUAAACAAUUAUAAUAACUUAGUUAUUUAUCCUAUCCAUGGAUCACCUGGAAGUUUACAAUGUGAUUUAAAAUGCAUUCUAUCAUUCCACCGACCUGCAGUGAAUUUUGUUGUCAUUAUUACUCCAGGGAUACCUAAAGGGGAAGUUUGUUUAUAAUUCGUACCCACUCCUUGUAGAAAGGAUUCAAGACAGCCGAUGAUGAAAACACCCAUGCUUGCAAGUGAAGGUUCUGCCUGUCACUUCUCGCAGAGGCUGCAGAAAAGGCCCAGGAGGCUGUUGAUGACAUGAACGACCACCAGGAGAAGCUGGAGCAGGCUGAUGCACAGAAGGGCGGAGAAGAGGGACACGUGCCAGACAACAGCUGCAGAGGGCUCCAGGCAGACGGAGUUCCAGAGCGAACGGUCAUACAGAUAAUUCCUAUCCCAAAAAAUAAGGAGACCAGGGGUCAGGCGAUAAGUAAGGAAAGCCAAACAGGCAACCCCAGUAGAAAACUGGGGUCUCCCCUGACCGGGUCAUGGGACUGGGCUCAUGAGGGUGACCGUUACUGCUCCAUUUGCAAUUUUCUGAGUAUCAGAGGAGCAAGAUGCUAGGAUGUGUGACCCAAAGGAGCUUGUAGUUCGUCUGUGUGUCUUUUUGUCUCUCUCUCUCUCUCUGUCUGAAAAGACCAAGCCCAAGCCUCCACCCAUUUACCUACUAUGCAGGUCUUUGAAUGGGUAACCAUAUUUCCAAGCUUGUGUCUGAUUGAAGGAUGAAACAUCAAACAUGCAAAAAGGACCAUCUUUCAGAGCAACUCCAGAAGUGACAAAGCAAAUCAGGGCUCCAAGUAAAGCCAGGCCACCUGACAACAGAGCACCAUUCAGCCUCUGAGCUAAAGAAGAAGCUACCACAGGCCCACCACUGACUCUUCUAAGGAAAAGCUGCAUUUUCAAAAGUUCCAGGUUCCCAACUCUGAUUCUUCUCUAUUUCAAAUCAAGGAUAAAAAAAAGGAAGGGAGGGAAGGAAGGAAAGAAAGAAGCAGGAAAGAAGGGAAGGAGAGAAGUGGGAGGGAGGGAAAGAAGGGAGAGAAACAGCGAGAGAGAAGCUGCAGCCAAGCUCUGAAAUGACUCCACUUCUGUCGCUGUGUUUCUCCAGCUGAGAGCUUUCUUGGCCAUCAGUCUGUGCUCCCACUGCCCUCCCAGAAAAUAACUGGGUUUCCUUCCUUGACAGGUUUCUAGCCUGCUUCUACAUUGGCUUCUUUCUCGUUCCUUCCUUCCUUCCCUUCCUUCCUUCUUUCUCUCUCUCUCUUUCUUUUUGAGACAGAGUCUCACUCUGUCGCCCAGGCUGGAGUGCAGUGGCACGAUCUCAGCUCACUGCAACCUCUGCCUCUGAGUUCAAGCGAUUCUCCUGCCUCAGCCUCCCAAGUAGCUGGGACUACAAGCAUGCGCCACCACACCCAGCUAAUUUUUGUAUUUUUAGUAGAAAUGGGGUUUCACUGUGUUGGUCAUGCCGGUCUCAAUCUCCUGACCUUGUGAUCCACCUGCUUCAGCCUCCCAAAGUGCUGGGAUUACAGGCAUGAGCCACCGUGCCCGGCCCAUAUUGGAUUCUUUCUUAGGGUUCUAGAUUUUUUUCUCCCUCCCCCAAAAAUGCCUAUUUUAAAAAUGUGAAUAACACCUACAUAGCGUUUUUCUGCAGAGUCAUGGAGUCAUUCUCCCACUGAGGUCAAGCUGGUUUGGAGUUGGGGAGGGAUCAGACAAAGGUGCAUAGUAAGUUUUGACUCUGAGUUAAAGGAGUCAAGAUGAAUCAGUAAGCCUAGGGCAGUGGUUCCCAAAAUGGGGUCCCUGCCCAGCCGCAUCACAUCACCUGAGAACCUGUUAGAAAUGCAAAACUUCCCCGCCAUCCUGAAUCAGAAACUCUGGGGAGGGAGCCCAGCAAUCCGUGUUCCGGCAAAAGCCCUCCAGGUGAUUCUCAUGCACAUUCAAGUGUCAGAACUACGUGCCACGGGGAAAACCAGAAUGAGAACAGACAGUGAAUGAAAUGUGCAAGUGUUUAUUUAUUUAUCUAUGUACUUAUUUAUUUAUUUAUUUUGAAACGGAGUCUCGCUCUGUCGCCCAGGCUGGAGUGCAGUGGCGCCAUCUCGGCUCACUGCAAGCUCCGCCUCCCGGGUUCAAGAGAUUUUCCUGCCUCAGCCUCCUGAGUUGCUGGGAUUACAGGCGCCCACCACCACGCCCAGCUAAUUUUUGUAUUUUUGGUAGAGACGGGGUUUCACCAUGUUGGCCAGGCUGGUCUCAAACUCCUGACCUCAGGUGAUCCGCCCAUCUUGGCCUCCCAAAGUGCUGGGAUUACAGGCGUGAGCCACCGCGCCUGGCCUAUAUUUGAUUUUUUAACAUGUAACUGAGUCAGUGGGCUUCCCAACAUGUGGGCUGCAGAUAUCAGAGCAGGCUGUGGAGUUACCAUAAGGCCACAGAUUCAUGUCUGAGAACGAGUGUGUGUGUGUGUGUGUGUGUGUGUUUGUUACACACACAUAUACUGAGAUCUUUCAAGUUUAUACAGUUGCUGCUGUAAUUAAUAAGGUAGAAAUUUAUUCUGGGCCUCAGUUUAUCUGUAAAAUGGAGGGGUUAGAUUAGAAUCUAGUGAUUAGAUGAUCUCUGGAAAACUUUCCUGUUCUAAGAAAAUAUUAGUUAAAAUAACUAGGAAAAUUUCCAUCAAUGACACAUGAUUACAGUGUCAUAACUCAUGUCCAUAUUGUCCAACACCCUAAGAGAGUAACAGUUUCUCACACUGGUACAGACGUCUGGGUCCUCACACUGGUACAGACGUCUGGGCUUCACUAAGCACUACUCCCUUGACUUGAUCAGCUCCCAUUUUACAGAUGAAAGCCUGAAACUGGAAAGAUGAAGCAACUUGCCCAAGAACUUAGCGUUACUGAGGGUCACAGUGAGGACCUGACUUCAGGCCCCAAGACCAAAAUUGCCUCUUUACCGCCCUGCCUCUAGAGUAAUAGAGGUGGAGACAUUCUGGGUGUUAGAAGAGUGGAAUCUGGUGCUUACGCUUCGACAGAGCCCACUCUUACUGAAGCAGCCGUAUCUCCAGCCCAUCAAGGAGAUGAGGAUAGCUGCAGUGAGUACCUGCAGGAGAGAGAAGAAUGUUGAGAUGGGGAAAUCGACUUUGCCGGCUGUUUCUAGGUGCUGCCCACAGCUGUUAGAGUGGCUGGCAGCUCACAUGAACGCAGUCCUGUUGACUCUGACUCUGGGGACCCACAUUUGUAUGACGAGCCUGAUCUAACGCUGUGGAUGUUAACUUUCACACCCGACCUGCCUGGUCCCAAGCUAGGCUUCCUGUCUCUUAGAGCUUCUACAGACCCAAGAUCAGCUUGUUAGAAUAAACUUUUCUGCAAGGAAUCAAAACACUCUUCCCAUGCCACCUUCCUGCUCCCCGCCGGGGUCUCUUUGAGAGUUCACGUUCAGGGAACCCCGGACACUUACCAUGAGGCCUCCUCCCCAGAGCCCAGUUCCCAGCAUGGCAUGCCUGCCAAGGAGGCCCCUCAACAGGUAGGUGACAUCCCAGUUAGGAAGGAGGAGUGCCACGUUGGCCCCAGCAGCAAACAGGGCUGCAGUCCCAAGGCUCAGUCCCAGGAUACGGGAGCAAGUCCGUGAGCUUGCCUGCGUGCAGGGAGAGGACACCAUCCUGGAACAGAUAGAAAGGGAGUCGCAGCAGCUCUGCUGUGGGGGGAUGGGGAAGGGAACUCCAGCAGCAUAUCAUGGGUGAGGGAAACAGACUACAGAAACCGCCACCUUCCAGGGUCAGACCAAUGAGAGCCAAGCAACCUGCUUAAAAACUCUGCUCCUUAGGAAUCUUCCCCAGUGACUAGGAUUUAAUUGUUUCCUUUUCUGCUAACCCCUGUUCACACAUACAUAGUUUGCAUUCCAUCAUAUUUUGUUUAUGCCUCUAUUACAGCCAGUGAUUAUUUCUGACAAAAAGAAAUGUUUAAAGGUGUCUUCAUGAUGUCCAUUGUCUCCACUUCUAUUCAACGUUGUACUGGUCCUGGCCAGUGCAAUACGAAAAUAAAAGGAAGCAAAAGCCACACAGAUAGGAAAGAAAGAAGUAAUAUUGUCGGCCAGGCAUGGUGGCUCAGGCCUGUAAUCCCAGCACUUUGGGAGGCUGAGGCAGGCGGAUCACGAGGUCAGGAGUUCAAGACCAGCCUGGCCAACAUGGUGAAACCCCGUCUCUACUAAAAAUACAAAAAUUAGCUGGGCACGGUGGUGGGUGCCUGUAAUCCCAGCUACUGGGGAGACUGAGGCAGGAGAAUUGCUUGAACCCGGGAGGCAGAGGUUGCAGUGAGCUGAGAUCAUGCCACUGCACUCCAGCCUGGGUGACACAGCAAGACUCCAUCUUAAAAAAAAAAAAAAGUAACAUUGUUAUUAUUCACAGAUAAUGUGAUCACAUUAUGUAGAAAAUCCUAAAGUUUAUUAGAAUUAACAGGUGAGUUUAGCAACGUCAUAGAAUAAAAGAUUAAUAUACAAAAAUUAUAUUGUAUUUCUAUAUACAAGCAAUGACAAAUUGAGGAUUGAAAUUAAAAUAUAUCAUUUACAAUAGCAUAAAAAUAUAAUACAUAUGGAUGAAUUUAACAAAAUAUUUGCAAGACCUAUAUAGUAAGAAUUGCAAAGCAUUGCUGAGAAAAUUAAUGGAGACCUAAAUAAAUGGAGACAUAUACCAUGUUCCUGAACCAGAAGACUCAAAAUAGUUAACAUGUUCUCCCUAAAUUGAUGCAAAGAUUUAAAGCAAUAUCAGUCAAAAUCCUAGGAGAGUUUUGUUAUAGAAAUUGACAAACUGAAUCUAAAUUUAUAUGGAAAUGCAAAGCAAUUGUGAAGAUUAGCCAAAGCAAUUCUGAAAAACAAACAAAGCUGGAGAACUUACGCCAUGUGAUUUCAAGACUUACAAAGCUACAGUAAUUGAAGACACUGAAGCCACGCGUAAGGAAACACAUAUGGACUACUGGAACAGGCUGGAGCUCAGAAACAGACCCGGUCCAGGAAAAAUGAUUUUUUUUUUUUCUUGAGACGGAGUCUCGCUCUGUUGCUCAGGCUGGAGUGCAGUGGCGCGAUCUCAGCUCACUGCAACCUCUGCCUCCCAGGUUCAAGCGAUUCUCCUGCCUCAGCCUCCCAAGUAGCUGGGAUUACAGGUGCCCGCCACCAUGCCCGGUAAUUUUUUGUAUUUUUAGUAGAGACGGGGUUUCACCGUGUUAGCCAGGACGGUCUUGAUCUCCUGACCUCGUGAUCCGCCUGUCUCGGGCUCCCAAAGUGCUGGGAUUACAGGCAUGAGCCACCGCGCCCGGCCAAUAAAUGAUUUUUUAAGAAGAUGACAAUUCAGCGGGAAAAAGUCUCUUCCACAAAUGGUGCCGGAACAAUGCACAUGCAAAACAAAACUGCCUUCACUAUUACUUCACAACAUAUUCAAAAAUUCACUUGAAAUGGAGCAUGGGUCUAAAAGCUUUAUAAAAUUUCUAGAAUAAAACAAAGGAGAAAAACACUGGGACCUUGGGUUAGAUAAAGGUUUCUUACUAAAAUGCAAAAAGUACAAUCCACAAAACAUGAUUAAUCAGACUGCUUAAAAAUUUAAAUGUCAGCUGGGUGCUUGCCUAUAAUCCCAGCUACUCGGAGGUUGAGGCAGGAAAAUCGCUUGAACCCAGGAGGCAGAGGCUGCAGUGAGCUGAGAUCGCGCCACUGCACUUCAGCCUGGGCGACAAGAGCAAGCGACUCCAUCUAAAAAAAAAAAAUCAUGCUAAAAGAAAUAAGCCAGACACUAAAGGACAAAUAUUGUAUGAUUCCACUUAUAUGAAAUAUUCAAAAUAACAACUUUAUAGAGAAAGAAAGUAGACUGGAGGUUAUCAGGGACUGUGGGGAGGGAGGAGAGAAUGGGGAGUUAUUGUUUAAUGGUUACAGAGGUUUUCAGGUUUUGUUUUGUGUUGUUUUGUUUUUUUUUUUUGAGACAGAGUCUUGCUCUGUCAGCCAGGCUGGAGUGCAGUGGCGCAAUCUCAGCUCACUGCAACCUCUGCCUCCUGGGCUCAAGCAAUUCUCCUGCCUCAGCCUCCCAAGUAGCUGGGACUACAGGCAUGUGCCACCACGCCUGGCUAAUUUUUGUAUUUUUAGUAGAGACAGGGUUUCACUAUGUUGGCCAGGCUGGUCUUGAACUCCUGACCUCAGGUGAUCUGCCCGCCUCGGCCUCCCACCGCGCGCGGUGGUUUUGGGGUUUUUUUAGAGAUGCAGUCUCACUAUGUUACCCCAGCUGGUCUUCAACUCCUGGACUCAAAUGAUCCUCCAGCCCGUGCCUCCAGAGUAGCUAUGACCAGAUCUGGGCCACUGCCCACGGUUUAAGGGUUACAGACUUUCUGUUUGGGGUGAAGAAAAGUUUUGGAAAUAGAUAAUGGUAAUGGUUGCACAUCAUUGCAAAUGUAAUUAAUGUCACUGAAUUAUACACUUUAAAAUGGUUAAAAUGACAAAUCUGAUGUUACUUUACCACAAUAAAAAAUCAAUUAAAAAAUUUGUGAUUACUCAAAUCCUUAUCAGUAAUCAAUAGGUGAAUCAAGACAAAUUGUGUUAUCCAUACAAAUGAGUUCUAUUAGGUAAUAAAAUGCGUAAAUUUCUGCUACAUAUAACAUGGAUGAAUCUCAAAAGCAUUGUGUUAAGUGGAAGAAGCCAGAAACAAAAGACUACUCACAUGUUUCUAUAUAUACGAAAUUCUAGAAAAGGCAAAACUUUUAACGGAGAGCAGAUGAGCGGUUGCCAUGGGCUGAGAAUGGGAAAGAGGAUUAGUAUGGGGCAUGGGAAGCUUUCUGAAGGGGUGGAAGCAUUCUGUGUCUAGAUUCUGGUGGUGAAUACAUAACUGUACAUAUUGACAAAACUCAUUAAACUUUGCACUUAAAAUAGGUGAAUUUUAUUGAAUUUUAACUAUAUAUCAAUAAAGCUAAUUACAAUUAAAAUGUCAUAUCUAGAUAAAUUAUAAAAUGCCUCUUCCACUCCUUAUGUUCCUCUCUUUUAUAUUUUCAUUGAUAUGUGAACUUCUUGUUUUUUAGAAAAAUAUGAAUUAAGGCCGGGCACGGUGACUUACACCUGUAAUCCCAGCACUUUGGGAGGCCAAGGCAGGUGGAUCGCCUGAUGUCAGGAGUUUGAGAUAAGCCUGGUCAACAUGGUGAAACCGUGUCUCUAUUAAAAAAUACAAAAAAAUUGCUGGACGUGGUGGCAGGCACCUGUAAUCCCAGCUACUCGGGUGGCUGAGGCAGCAGAAUCGCUUGAGCCCAGGAGGCAGAAGUUGCAGUGAGCAGAGAUCGUGCCAUUGCACUCCAGCCCAGGAAACAAGAGUGAAGCUCUAUCUAAAAAAAAAAUAUAUAUAUAUACAUAUAUAUAUGAAUUAAAAUAGGACUAGUAAUAUUUGGGCAGACUCAUGUCAAUGUGGAUCUGAAAAAAGUCAGCGUCAUGACAUCCCCAGGAAGUGGCCUGUUCCCACUGUGCAGUUCAGUUACACGUCUGUCUCCCCUUAAGGCUCGCUAUUUAUUUAUUUAUUUAAUUUAUUUAUUUAUUUUUUAUUGAAAAAAAUUUAUUUUUAGCCGGGUGCAGUGGCUCACGCCUGUAAUCCCAGCACUUUGGGAGGCCAAAGCCGGCAGAUCACCUGAGGUCAGGAGUUCAAGACCAGCCUGGCCAUCAUGACGAAACCCCAUCUCUACUAAAAAUACAAAACUAGCCGGGCGUGGUGGCGCAUGCCUGUAAUCCCAGCUACUCGGAAGGCUGAGGCAGGAGAAUCACUUGAACCCGGGAGGUGGAGGUUGCAGUGAGCCGAGAUUACGCCACUGCACUCCAGCCUGGACAACAAGAGUGAAACUCCGUCUCAGAAGAAAAAAAAAUGUAAUAGAGGUGAGGUCUCCUUAUGUGGCCCAGGCUGGUCUCAAACUCCUUGGCUCAAGGGCCCUCCCACUUCAGACACCUAAAGUGCUAGGAUGACAGGCGUGAGCCACUGCACUUGGCCACUUGAGGCUCUUGACACGCCUAUAACACACUGCUUUGCACCUAAUCAGAAAAUAUGUGUAUAGAGGCCAGGCACGGUGGCUCACGCCUGUAACCCCAGCACUUUGGGAGGCUGAGGUGGGUGGAUCACGAGGUCAGGAGUUUCCGACCAACCUGGCCAACAUGGUGAAACCCCGUCUCUACUAAAAAUACAAAAAAAUUAGCUGGGCAUGGUGGCGGGUGCCUGUGGUCCCAGCUACUCGGGAGGCUGAGGCAGUAGAAUGGCGUGAACCUGGGGGGCUGAGAUCACGCCAGUGCACUCCAGCCUGGGCAAGAGAGUGAGAUUCGGUCUCAAAAAAAAAAAAUUAACUGCGUGGUGGUGUGCGCCUGUAAUCCAAGCUACUCAGGAGCUUGAGGCAGGAGAAUCGCUUGAGCCCGAGAGGCAGAGGUGGCAGUGAGCCCAGAUCACGCCACUGCACUCCAGCCUGGGUGACAGAGCAAAAGAGAGAGAGAGAGAGGAGGGAGAGAGGGAGGGAGGGAGGGAGGAAGGAAGAAAGGAAAGGAAGGAAGGAAAGAGGAAGGGGAAGGGGAAGGGAAGAAAAAAAAUAUAUAUAUAUAUAAAAGAUAUGGAUCAGAGGCUCUAUAUAUAUGCACACACACAUAUAUAUCAUAUACAUAUAAUGUAUAAUGUGCGUAUAUAUGUGUGUACGUACACACACACACACACACAAUAGUCCCCCAUAUCUGCAGGGGAUAUGUUCCAAGAGCUCCAGCGGAUACCUGAAACCACAGAUCAUACCAAACUCUGUAUAUUCAGAUGCUUCUCCACUUAUGAUGGGGUCGAACUCCUAUAAACCCGUUGUAAGUCAAAAUAUCCUAAGUUCAAAAGGCAUUUAAUGCUGGCAACACAGUAGACUGUCCCUGACUCACAAUGGUUCAACUUACAAUUUUUUUUUUUUUUUUUUUUUUGAGACAGGGUCUUGCUCUGUCACCCAGGCUGGAGUGCAGUAGCACAAUCAUUGUUCACUGCAGCCCUGAUCUGGGCUCAAGUGAUCCUCCCACCUCAGUCUCUCGGAUAGCUGAGACCGCAGGCAUGCGCCACCAUACCUGGCUAAUGUUUUAGUUCUAUAGAGACAGGGUCUCACUAUGUUGCCCAAGCUGAUCUCAAACUCCUGGCCUCAAGUGAUCCUCUCACCUCCACCUCCCAAAAUGUUGGGAUUACAGGCGUAAGCCACCACGCCCAGUCCCAAUUUACUUUUGACUUUGUGAUGGUGCAAAAGCAAUGAGUAUUCAGUAGAAACCGUAAUCCCAUCAUAAAGGGUAAGGAGUUCACUGAUGAUGGAGUUAGGUCCCUAGAAACCUGUCGUAAAGUUGGAAACUUAGAAGUCAAACCACUAUAAGUAGAGGACUGUCUGUACUAUGCUUUUUCCUAUACAUACAUAUCUGUAAUAAAGUUUAAUUUAUAAAUCAGGCAUAGUAAGAAGUUCGCAACAAUAAUAAUAAAAUAGAACAGUUAUAACAACAUACUGUAAUGAAAGUUAUGUGAAUGUGGUCUUUCUCAUUGAAAAUAUUUUAUGUAAGUUUUUUGAACUGCAGUUGACCACAGAUAGCUAAAACUUUGGAAAGCAAAGCUUCAGUUAAGGGGGGAUUACUUUACAUCACACAUAAAUAAUGAAAUAUUUCACAGCAUGAAGAAUUAAACAUUGGGGGAGGGCCAGGGCUGAAAAACUAUCUGUAGGUACCGCGCUCACUACCUGAGUGACGGGAAUCACUCAUACCCUAACCUCAACAUCACACAAUAGACACGGAACAAGCCUGUAUAUGUAUCCCCGGAUCUAAAAUAAAAGUUGAAAUUAUAUUUUUAAAAUUUGCAUUAAAGGCCAGGUGCAGUAGUUCACGCCUAUAAUCCCAGCACUGUGGGAGGCCGAGGCGGGUGGAUCACUUGAGGUCAGGAGUUCAAGACAGCCUGGCCAACCUGGCGAAACCUCAUCUCUACUAAAAAUACAAAACUUAGCUGGGAAUGGUGGUGUGCGCCUGUAAUCCCAGCUACUCAGGAGGCUGAGGCAGAAGAAUCACUUGAACCUGGGAGGCAGAGGUUGCAGUGAGCCAAGAUCGCACCACUGCACUCCAGCCUGGACCACAGAUCGAGACUCCGUCUCAAAAAAAAAAAAUUGCAUUAAAAAAGAAUUAAACAUAAUGUGUAAAAUAUAUUUGUAACUUGUGUGAGAUAAUUAACACCCAUGUAAACACAACCAAUAUCAAACAUACGUCAUUACCCAUCACAUCACUGACACUCAGGUGUGCCCUCUCCAAUCCUGCCUUCUUUCUGGAUUCCUUCCUAGGAACUACUAUCCUAUAUUUCAUCUUCAACAUAUCCUUUUAAAAACAGUUUUACGACUUAGGAACUCAGAAUUGUUUUAGAAACUUGUUUAGUCGGGUGUUUUCCAUUUUUCAAGACUGUAGCUUUUCUUUUCUUUUUCUUUUUUUUUUUGAGAUGGAGUCUUGCUCUGUCUCCCAGGCUGGAGCUCAGAAACAGACCCGGUCCAGGAUAAAUAAUUUUUUUUUUUCUUGAGACAGAGUCUCACUCUGUCGCUCAGGCUGGAGUGCAGUGGCGCGAUCUCAGCUCACUGCAACCUCCGCCUCCCCGGUUCAAGCGAUUGUUCUGCCUCAGACUCCCCAGUAGCUGGGACUACAGCUGCACACCACCAUGCCCGGCUAAUUUUUGUAUUUUUAGUAAAGACAGGGUUUCACCAUGUUGGCCAGGCUGGUCUUGAACUCCUGGUCUCAAGUGAUCCUCCUGCCUCGGUUUCCCAAAGUGCUGGAAUUACAGGUGUGAGCCACCAAACCCGGCCAGACUGUAGCUUAUGGUAAAGAAGACAAGGGGAGGGGUGCCCUGGGAGGGUGGGGGUAGGAGAGAGGAAGGGUGCCCUGAGAAGGUGGGGGUUAGGAGAAGGGAGGGGUGCACUGGGAGGGUGGGUGUAGGAGAGGGAAGGGUGCCCUGAGAAGGUGGGGGUUAGGAGAAGGGAGGGGUGCACUGGGAGGGUGGGUGUAGGAGAGGGAAGGGUGCCCUGAGAAGGUGGGGGUUAGGAGAAGGGAGGGGUGCACUGGGAGGGUGGGUGUAGGAGAGGGAAGGGAUGCCCUGAGAAGGUGGGGGUUAGGAGAAGGGAGGGGUGCACUGGGAGGGUGGGGGUAGGAGAGGGAAGGGAUGCCCUGAGAAGGUGGGGGUUGGAGAGGGGAGGGGUGCUCUGGGAGGGUGGGGGUAGGAGAGGGGAGAGGUGCCCUGGGAGGGUGGCCAGAGGACAGGGGAGGAGUGCACAGGGAGAGUGGGGGUAGGAGAGGGGAGGGAUGCACGGGGAGGGUGGAGGUAGCAGAGGG